CCCUUCGCAGCGGUGCGCACAGCAUCGGAGACCCGGCAGAAGGAUCACGACUCUCAGAGGACCCUCACGUCGGCCGUGGACCGCGCACUGUACGUAUCACAUCCGAUCGUCUGCUGUUAUAAUUUACAGUUUGCUCAUCGUCGCCCGCCGUGGUCCAUGUGCAAGUCUCCGGUCACGUCAGAAAUGUAACGCAUCCGUGAUCUACCCUGUAGAUCCGGGCUUUUGUAGAAUAAUCGAUACGUUCAGAAGCUCGUCUCUACAGGUAUCUUACGGAUGGAAGUUUACCCCGACCCGCGGCGGCACCAUACAUCGAACGGACGGCAGCCACGACGCCUGAUGAUAGUAUAGUACCUACCUAUACAAUAUAUUAUAUUAUUAGUUAAUUUUGAGCCUUAACCCGUCGUUGCAUCCUCCGCCGACGUCAACGAACGAGUAUGAAGGUUUUCGAUGCACGUAUGGUUUAGCUGUCGCGGCGUCUCCUCUGCGCUCGUCAGUCGUCAAUCAUCAUCCGUUCGAAAAUAUAAUACUUAAUAUUUUUACUCAUUUUUUUACAUUUUGUAUAAUUUCCGCAUAAUUUCUUCUAUUUAAAAUGAAAUAAGUGUCAAUAUUUCAUCCUUGUCGUGACCGUGGAUCAAUCGAUUAUUUAUAGCCACUGUAGGUUAUUAACAUAUUAUUAUAAUACAUAUAUAUAGGUACGUACAAACAUAAAUAAUAUGAUACACCAAUACACCAUACAUUAUUGCAUACUCGGUUAGGUUAGCUUAAUAUCUUUCGUGAUUUAACAAUAUUUUGUUAGGUACUUAUUUUCUUAUGGUUGUAGUUAUAUACUUAUAGUCGUAUAUACAUAUAUAUGAGUUUGUCACAAUUAAACAUUAUUGAAUAUUAUUGUUAUAGAAAUGGUGACAUUAAUGUAUAAUCCCUAUACUAUGGUGCGUGUAUGUACCUAUAUAUAAUAUAUUAUAACAAUUAACAAUAAUUUUAUUUUGUAUAACAUGACAUUUAUCUACAAAAAUGUUUCAUGUUUUGUGUUUUUAUUUCUUCAUAAUAUUAUUUAGUUAUAGACAUAUAAACUAAAAUCUAGAAUAAGAAAAUAAAAAAAAUAUAUGUUCACAUAAUAUACAAACCAGUAAGUACUAAGUUAAAUUAUUGUGUAUUGCCUUAAAUAGUUCUAAACAUAUUUUUAGUGAUACAAGUUUUUAACAUUUUUAAUUUUUAUGUAUAUUCAUUUAUUUUAUUUUUAAAUAAAUGUUGUUUUAACUUUUCAGUACAAUAAAUAAUUAAAAUUUA
Rhopalosiphum padi (bird cherry-oat aphid) is the source of this 1287-nucleotide long non-coding RNA. RefSeq lists it as uncharacterized. NCBI's taxonomy places the organism in Eukaryota, Metazoa, Arthropoda, Insecta, Hemiptera, Aphididae. The record is from RefSeq and is a predicted model, not a curated record. The transcript has 2 exons.